Molecule: ribosomal RNA, 156 nt
Filed under: Aegilops tauschii subsp. strangulata
Lineage: Eukaryota; Viridiplantae; Streptophyta; Magnoliopsida; Poales; Poaceae
Description: rRNA 5_8S_rRNA
Rfam family: 5.8S ribosomal RNA
About the family: 5.8S ribosomal RNA (5.8S rRNA) is a component of the large subunit of the eukaryotic ribosome. It is transcribed by RNA polymerase I as part of the 45S precursor that also contains 18S and 28S rRNA.
Source: Rfam by way of RNAcentral
CACUCUCGGCAACGGAUAUCUCGGCUCUCGCAUCGAUGAAGAACGUAGCAAAAUGCGAUACCUGGUGUGAAUUGCAGAAUCCCGCGAACCAUCGAGUCUUUGAACGCAAGUUGCGCCCGAGGCCACUCGGCCGAGGGCACGCCUGCCUGGGCGUCA